GACGAACGCUGGCGGCGUGCUUAACACAUGCAAGUCGAACGGAAAGGCCCUGCUUUUGUGCGGUGCUCGAGUGGCGAACGGGUGAGUAACACGUGAGUAACCUGCCCUUGACUUUGGGAUAACUUCAGGAAACUGGGGCUAAUACCGGAUAGGAGCUCCUGCUGCAUGGUGGGGGUUGGAAAGUUUCGGCGGUUGGGGAUGGACUCGCGGCUUAUCAGCUUGUUGGUGGGGUAGUGGCUUACCAAGGCUUUGACGGGUAGCCGGCCUGAGAGGGUGACCGGCCACAUUGGGACUGAGAUACGGCCCAGACUCGAACGGGAGGCAGCAGUGGGGAAUAUUGCACAAUGGGCGGAAGCCUGAUGCAGCAACGCCGCGUGCGGGAUGACGGCCUUCGGGUUGUAAACCGCUUUCGCCUGUGACGAAGCGUGAGUGACGGUAAUGGGUAAAGAAGCACCGGCUAACUACGUG
This 468-nucleotide ribosomal RNA is filed under the name uncultured bacterium. Its description in RNAcentral is "partial 16S ribosomal RNA". It matches the Rfam family "Bacterial small subunit ribosomal RNA", at positions 28 to 507 of the family's 1533-position model. The record is from RNAcentral.